Molecule: ribosomal RNA, 496 nt
Filed under: uncultured bacterium
Lineage: Bacteria
Description: partial 16S ribosomal RNA
Rfam family: Bacterial small subunit ribosomal RNA
Source: RNAcentral
AUGAACGCUGGCGGCGUGCCUAAUACAUGCAAGUCGAGCGAACGGACGAGAAGCUUGCUUCUCUGAUGUUAGCGGCGGACGGGUGAGUAACACGUGGAUAACCUACCUAUAAGACUGGGAUAACUUCGGGAAACCGUAGCUAAUACCGGAUAAUAUUUUGAACCGCAUGGUUCAAAAGUGAAAGACGGUCUUGCUGUCACUUAUGGAUGGAUCCGCGCUGCAUUAGCUAGUUGGUAAGUUAACGGCUUACCAAGGCAACGAUGCAUAGCCGACCUGAGAGGGUGAUCGGCCACACUGGAACUGAGACACGGUCCAGACUCCUACGGGAGGCAGCAGUAGGGAAUCUUCCGCAAUGGGCGAAAGCCUGACGGAGCAACGCCGCGUGAGUGAUGAAGGUCUUCGGAUCGUAAAACUCUGUUAUUAGGGAAGAACAUAUGUGUAAGUAACUGUGCACAUCUUGACGGUACCUAAUCAGAAAGCCACGGCUAACUACGUG